Molecule: ribosomal RNA, 488 nt
Filed under: uncultured bacterium
Lineage: Bacteria
Description: bacterial SSU rRNA
Rfam family: Bacterial small subunit ribosomal RNA
Source: RNAcentral
GAUGAACGCUAGCGGCAGGCCUAACACAUGCAAGUCGAGGGGCAUCAUGGCGUAGCAAUACGCUGAUGGCGACCGGCGCACGGGUGCGUAACGCGUAUGGAACCUACCCACCGCAGGGGGAUAACCCGCCGAAAGGCGGACUAAUACCCCAUGGUUCCCCGACCCUGCCUGGGGUUGGGGGUAAAGCCUACGGGCGGCGGUGGAUGGCCCUGCGUGCCAUUAGCUGGCUGGUGGGGUAACGGCCCACCAGGGCGACGAUGGCUAGGGGGUCUGAGAGGACGAUCCCCCACACUGGUACUGAGACACGGACCAGACUCCUACGGGAGGCAGCAGUGAGGAAUAUUGGUCAAUGGGCGGAAGCCUGAACCAGCCAAGUCGCGUGAAGGAAGAAGGAUCUAUGGUUCGUAAACUUCUUUUGCAGGGGAAUAAAGUGCAGGACGUGUCCUGUUUUGUAUGUACCCUGAGAAUAAGGAUCGGCUAACUCCGUG